This 5322-nucleotide long non-coding RNA is filed under the name Citrus x clementina. Its description in RNAcentral is "Citrus clementina (C. clementina) long non-coding RNA (CCLE_LNC000866)". Lineage: Eukaryota; Viridiplantae; Streptophyta; Magnoliopsida; Sapindales; Rutaceae. The record is from RNAcentral.
CUUCCGACUCUUCUAGCCAUAUCAGCUCAAAGUAAUGCCAUUCAUGCAUUCCCAAUAAGAGAAGCAACCAUCAAGGAUCUCCAGCUCGCUUUCAAGCAAAACAAGCUCACGUCCCGGCAGCUGGUUGAAUUUUACCUCGGAGAAAUCCACAGGCUCAACCCGCUGCUUCACGGCGUCAUAGAGGUGAACCCCGAUGCACUAUCCCAAGCUGAUAAGGCUGACUACGAGCGCAAGGUUAAGGCAGCAGGCUCACUGCGGGGCUUGCACGGGAUUCCUAUUCUUCUUAAGGAUAACAUUGCAACGAAGGACAAGAUGAACACCACUGCUGGCUCGUAUGCUCUGCUCCGCUCAGUCGUGCCCCGGGAUGCUGGUGUGGUGGUGAAGUUGAGGAAAGCUGGUGCCAUUAUUUUGGGAAAGGCCAGCUUGAGUGAGUGGUCUAACUUUAGAUCCUCCAAAGCACCCAGUGGUUUCAGUGGUAGGGGGGGCCAGGGAAAGGUGAGCUUAAAGUUAGUCAGCUACUUGGUUUUAUGCUAUAAACUACCUAUUGCUAUUAAGGCAAGUUUGGUAUUUACCUUCCAUUUUUUUGGAAAAAUAAAAAGAAUAAAACUAAAUUUGUAUUCUGUAAAAUGAUUGGAAACACGUGACCUCUUAUCUUAAUCAACAAGUAGUAAUUAAACAAUACUCUUUGUGUUCAAUAAUAUCUUAUACUAUAUACUCAAAAGAGAUUUUACUAGUUGAACCAACUAAUAAGUCAAAUACCACACCAAUCCGAAAAUUUGACUAAGAUGGUGUCUGAAUCCGAAAAUUUGACUAAGAUGGUGUUUGAUUACUCACAGAAAAAAUUCAGACAAAACGGCAUUUUUAUCUAGUAAUUUUAAAUAAAGUGUUUGUUGGGGGACUUAACAUAAGAUUUCUAAGUAUCCAACUUAAAAGACUAGCCUUUUAGGUGGAGUGACCUACUACCUUAUAAACCCAAGCAUCUCCCCUUUACUAACUAAUGUGGGACACAACUCAAUAAUGUUUAACUAUCUAGUACUGCAAUUUUGAAGUAAAUAUUCUCACUUAGUAGAUUUGUUAAAUUUUUUUAUUCUAUUAUUGUUUUCUACGAGACAAGUACACAUUCUACUGUUUUGGAGAUUUAAUAUGGAUUAAUGACAACACCAAAUUCUACUUUAUAAUCUGAAAACGAGGACUGAACAACAGAACAAGGUUUGGCUUUGGCAUAUUAGGACUUAUUUUGGUGAUGCUAAUGUUUGCAGAAUCCAUAUGUUCUAUCAGCAGAUCCUUGUGGGUCAAGCAGUGGCUCAGCAAUUUCAGUAGCUGCAAACUUGGCUGCCGUGUCACUGGGAACUGAAACGGAUGGUUCCAUUCUAUGUCCGUCCAGUUCUAACUCAGUAGUGGGACUCAAACCAACCCUUGGUCUCACCAGCAGAGCCGGCGUUAUCCCAAUAACUCCUAGACAGGACUCCGUUGGGUGUGUGGAACCUUUGCCAAUAUGAACUGAUGGCAUUUAACAUUAAUUGAAAAAUAAAGGAACAUUUUUUUUUUCCUCGCAGACCUAUUUGCAGAACUGUAGCGGAUGCUGCUUAUGUUCUAGAUGCCAUUGCAGGAUUUGAUCAUUACGAUCCUGCAACAAGGGCAGCAUCAGAGUACAUUCCACGUGGUGGCUACAAACAGUUUCUUAGGCCUCAUGGACUCAAAGGGAAGAGAUUGGGAAUUGUGCGGAAUCCAUUCUUCAAUUUUGACGAGGGCUCUCCACUGGCUCAAGUUUUUGAUCACCAUCUGCACACACUCAGGUUGAAUUAUGCAUAAAAGCAUUUUUGUUAUUCCAGCCUACUUUUGCAGUAAAUUAAGUGACUAAACUAAAGACAAAAUGAAAUAAGCAAAAAUGCAGCAAAAUUAUUUUCGUUAUUCCAGCAUACUUUUGCAGGCAUUAUAUGCAAAGCCAUUUUACUAUUUUACAGGUAAGAUUAACUGAUUAAGCCUAGGACAAUACAAUAGUUUUGAGGUUUCGUCUUCGUUCUCAAUGAAUCACCGCCCUUUAUCUUCAACGUUCUCAUGUAUCCUCCAAGAAUCUUCUAGAAUGUUUUUCUUCUGUUAAUGUAAGAGUUUCAUCUGCUGCCAAAUUCAAAUUAUGUUUUUACUGCUGAAAUAGUCUCACUGUGGCAUUUCAUCAAACAUUUCUUCUCUUUCAUCAAACACUUGAUCUUUAACUCGAAUGAAUGUCAAUGACACUUGAUUUUCCUCCAAUCUAGACAGGAAGGUGCACUUGUAAUCGACCAUCUGGAGAUAGGCAACAUUAAUUCACUAAAUUCUAUAGCAAAUGACGAAACGACAGCAAUGCUGGCCGAGUUCAAGUUGGCCAUAAAUGCAUAUCUCAAGGAGCUUGUGACUUCCCCAGUGCGAUCUUUGGCAGAGGUUAUAGCCUUCAAUAACAAAUUCUCAGAUUUGGUAAGUACUCUUCAUCAUUUGAGCAUGCAUACAUGUCUUGGUAAUUGUAUCAACUUUGGUAAUAAUUCCGAUGACACGAAUGUAUCUAACCAUACAUGCAGGAAAAGAUCAAAGCAUACGGCCAGGACUUCUUUCUGUUAGCAGAAGCAACAAAUGGAAUCGGCAAAAAAGAGAAGGCGGCAAUACUGAAUUUAGAAAAGUUUACAAGAGAUGGUUUUGAGAAGCUGAUGACCAGGAACAAGCUUGACGCAUUGGUGACACCAGGAUAUGCUGUUUCUACGCUUCUGGCAGUCGGUGGGUUCCCAGGAAUCAAUGUUCCUGCUGUAUAUGCUGGUGAUGGUGAACCUUUUGGCAUUUGUUUUGGAGGAUUGAAGGGUUCAGAGCCAAAGCUCAUUGAGGUUGCCUAUGGCUUUGAGCAAGCUACCAAAAUUAGGAAGCCUCCUUCAUUCAAGUCUUGAAUAUCCAUUUUCGGGGCUGUUGACUGUACAAUGAUUAAACCCCCCUACUAUCGUAAUGCAGGGGUAACUUGAACUUUUAGAUUCUAUCAAAUAAAAUUCAACCGUUUUUAUUGAUAUAAAUUAUAAAGUUAAUAACUAUGGUGGGUGUGAUUGGCUUCCCUUUUCUGGAAAAUCCCAUUUAAUCAAUUUUUUUAAUAUCAUAAAAUCAACUAAUUAAUUAAAAACUCAUAAUUGAAUUGACCUGUUCUUUUUUUUUUUUUUUUUGGUUAAUUAGGGUUAAGGUAUUCUGUCAAUGGAUAAAGAUGGUCAAGUGAUAUAAUAAGAAUUUAUGGUGCAUUUAUUUUAUGGAAUGAGAAUAAAAUGAAAUGGAAAUGAAUUGGGAAUAGGAAUGAGGAAUGAGAAUGAGAUUAUAUAAUGUUUAAUUGGAAAAAAUAAAUGUGAAUGAGAAUGUGUUGGAAUGUCAUUGAUGUGUUUCCUUGGUAAAAUAAAUAAGAAUGAGGAAUGGAAAUGAGAAUUAAUUUACCAAAAUACUCAUAAUAUUAAAUAAGAAAAUUAUUCAUCGUACAUUCGUUUUUUCUAACUUUUUAAAAAUACACAAUUCUUUUUUUUUUUUGGCUGAAAUCCACCUGAAAUUAUAUUUCUUUUCACUUGUCCACUUCAGUUCGGAGACCGUUAAGAAAACUAACGAAAUAUUGUGUAAAUAACUUUUUUACCUUCAAAUUUAAAAGAUAAAUUAUCCAUCGACCACCUAUUUUUCGUAUUAUUUCAAAAACACACAAUUCUUAAUUUUUGUUUGUUGAACUUCACUUGAAGUUAUAUUAUUUUGCACUUGUCUACCACUGUGUCGUUGUGAAAUGAUAAUUUUACCCUUAUGAUAUCAGCAAAGUUCUAACGGUGUUAUAACAAGAGUGGGCUAAUGAAAAAAAUUUUAACUUCAGGUGGAGCACUGCAAAAAAAAAAGGUAAUUCGGUAGAUAAUUUUCAUUUUUGAAAAACUGUGAAAAAAUGGGUGGACGGUAAAUAAUUUUCCUAUUAAAUAAUGUAAUUUUCAUUAACUAGAUGCAUGUAUAAAUAUUAUUAUAAAAAUUAUAUUAAUUAAAAAAAUAAAAAAAAAUAAAAAUAAUAAUAAAUGUUAACAAUGAUAAUAUUAAUAAAAAUAAUUAAUAAUAACUAAAAUAAUAAAUUUAAUAAAAUUUAAUAAUAAUAAUAAUAAUGACAUUUAAAAUAAUAAAAUUAAUUGUAAUUUGAAUGAAGGUAGUUCAGAAAAUAUGAAAAAAUUAGAGGGUUAUAAAAGUCAUUUCAGAAAAUGAGAAUCCCCAUUCCCAACCCCCAUGGAAAUGAGAUUCCCAAUCCUUAUUUUCAAAUUUUGUGGAACCCGCAUAUUUUAUUUUUAUUUUUAAAUUAUAUUUUACCAAAUAAAUAUAUGUUUCAUUCCUAUUCCCUAAACCUUCAAGUAAAAAUACCAUUAAUAAUGCAAAAUAAUGGUUAAACGAAUAAACACCAUGCUACAAAUAAAAUAACAAUAAAGAAAAUACAAAGGAAUUAAAGUGCUACUCUCAGGCCCUCGAAGGCAAUGUAUAUUCAUAUGAUUGAUACUUUGCAAAAUGGGUAUUUUUGUGAAUUUGUUUACUUUUUUAUGCAAUUUCUUUGUUGACUUUUUAGAAAGUUAAAAUUGAUAGUCAUUAUACAGAUAAUUAAAUUUUAAUCAUAUCUUAUUAUAAAUGUACGCCAGACAUAAUAUUAUUAGAACAUCGUAAUUGGAUUCAAAUUUUCAAUGGUGACCUAAUUAUAUUUUUUUAAUAAUUAUGGCAUUUAUAACAAUUAACGGUUAAAAUUUAAUAAACUAUGUAUUCUCUUAUCAAGAGAAUUAUUCAGUCAACUUCAUCGUUGCAUCGCCAAUGACUCAAUACAUAAAUAUACACACACGCACAUAUGUGUUGCACGUUUUGUUUUUGUUUUUUGGGAUAGAACUCAAUAUGUUACAUGCAACACGGUUGUACAAAUAGACCGAGCAUUCAAUAAUCAAUAUCUUCCUAUAUUGAUUAUAUGUUAUAUAAUUAUAUAUAUUAUAUACAAUUAUAUUGUUUAACAAAGACUGCCAAUAAUAAUGUGUCAUUGACCUUUCCUUACUUUUCACAUCUACUCCUGAUUCUUCUAGCCAUGUCAACCGAUCGAUCCGACGAUGAAUUCCCAAUAAGAGAGGCAACUAUCAACGAUCUCCAGCUCGCUUUCAAGCAAAACAAGCUUACGUCCUGGCAGCUGGUUGAAUUUUACCUCGGAGAAAUCCACAGGCUCAACCCGGUGCUCAACGGAGUCAUAGAGGUGAACCCUGAUGCACUAUCCCAAGCUGAUGAAGCUGACUGCGAGCGCAGGGUUAAGGCACCAGGUUCACUGCCCGGUUUACAUGGGAUUCC